CCUACGGGUGGCAGCAGUGAGGAAUAUUGCACAAUGGGGGAAACCCUGAUGCAGCGAUGCCGCGUGCGGGAUGAAGGGGCUUUGCCUCGUAAACCGCUGUCGGAUGGGAAGAAAGGGAUCUUAGAGGUCCUGGGACUGUACCAUAAGAGGAAGGGACGGCUAACUACGUGCCAGCAGCCGCGGUAAUACGUAGGUCCCGAGCGUUGUCCGGAAUUACUGGGUGUAAAGGGUGCGCAGGCGGUCUUGUGCGUCAGAAGUGAAAUAUCACGGCUUAA
RNAcentral lists this ribosomal RNA (275 nucleotides) under uncultured bacterium. RNAcentral describes it as "partial 16S ribosomal RNA". It matches the Rfam family "Bacterial small subunit ribosomal RNA", at positions 338 to 612 of the family's 1533-position model. The record is from RNAcentral.